CAAGUCGAACGGAAAGGCCCUGCUUGCAGGGUACUCGAGUGGCGAACGGGUGAGUAACACGUGGGUGAUCUGCCCUGCACUUCGGGAUAAGCUUGGGAAACUGGGUCUAAUACCGGAUAGGAACCAUCUUUAGUGUGGUGGUUGGAAAGUUUUUCGGUGUAGGAUGAGCUCGCGGCCUAUCAGCUUGUUGGUGGGGUAAUGGCCUACCAAGGCGGCGACGGGUAGCCGGCCUGAGAGGGUGUACGGCCACAUUGGGACUGAGAUACGGCCCAGACUCCUACGGGAGGCAGCAGUGGGGAAUAUUGCACAAUGGGCGCAAGCCUGAUGCAGCGACGCCGCGUGGGGGAUGAAGGCCUUCGGGUUGUAAACUCCUUUCGCUAGGGACGAAGCUUUUUGGUGACGGUACCUAGAUAAGAAGCACCGGCUAACUACGUGCCAGCAGCCGCGGUAAUACGUAGGGUGCGAGCGUUGUCCGGAAUUACUGGGCGUAAAGGGCUCGUAGGUGGUUUGUCGCGUCGUCUGUGAAAUUCUGGGGCUUAACUCCGGGCGUGCAGGCGAUACGGGUAUAACUUGAGUGCUGUAGGGGUAACUGGAAUUCCUGGUGUAGCGGUGAAAUGCGCAGAUAUCAGGAGGAACACCGAUGGCGAAGGCAGGUUACUGGGCAGUUACUGACGCUGAGGAGCGAAAGCAUGGGUAGCGAACAGGA
RNAcentral lists this ribosomal RNA (706 nucleotides) under uncultured Actinomycetales bacterium. RNAcentral describes it as "bacterial SSU rRNA". It matches the Rfam family "Bacterial small subunit ribosomal RNA", at positions 58 to 777 of the family's 1533-position model. Lineage: Bacteria; Bacillati; Actinomycetota; Actinomycetes; Actinomycetales. The record is from RNAcentral.